CCUACGGGAGGCAGCAGUAGGGAAUUUUCGGCAAUGGGGGGAACCCUGACCGAGCAACGCCGCGUGAACGAAGAAGUUAUUCGUAAUGUAAAGUUCUUUUAACAGGGAAGAAAGAGAAAUUUGACGGUACCUGAAGAAUAAGCUCCGGCUAACUACGUGCCAGCAGCCGCGGUAAUACGUAGGAAGCGAGCGUUAUCCGGAUUUAUUGGGCGUAAAGGGUGCGUAGAUGGCAUAGUAAGUCUUUUGUAAAAAUGCUGGGCUCAACCCAGUAGGGGAAAAGAUACUGAAGAGCUAGGGUAUGAGAGAGGCAAGUGGAACGACAGGUGUAGCGGUAAAAUGCAUAGAUA
Molecule: ribosomal RNA, 347 nt
Filed under: uncultured bacterium
Lineage: Bacteria
Description: partial 16S ribosomal RNA
Rfam family: Bacterial small subunit ribosomal RNA
Source: RNAcentral